RNAcentral lists this ribosomal RNA (667 nucleotides) under Avrainvillea hollenbergii. Its description in RNAcentral is "bacterial SSU rRNA". Lineage: Eukaryota; Viridiplantae; Chlorophyta; Ulvophyceae; Bryopsidales; Dichotomosiphonaceae. The record is from RNAcentral.
AGGACGUCUUCUUAUGAUCAAGAGCGAAAGUCGGGGGAUCAAAGAUGAUUAGAUACCGUCGUAGUCCCGACCAUAAAUGAUGCCGACUGAGCGUCGGCGACUCGUCCUUCGGCCGUACGUCGGCGCUCCUGAGAGAAAUUAAAGUCUUUGGGCUCCGGGGGUAGUAUGGUCGCAAGUCUGAAACUUGAAGGAAUUGACGGAAGGGCACCACAAGGCGUGGAUGUUGCGGCUUAAUUUGACUCAACACGGGAAAGCUUACUAGGUUUGGACACUUGAAUGACGGACAUAUUGAAGCUCUUACCUUUUUUUGUGGAUGGUGGUGCAUGGUCGCUCUCAGCCCGUGGGUUGACCUGUCAUGUUUACUCCGGUAGCGCUCGAUACCUCGGUUUGCUAAAUAUAUGUGGCUGGCUCGGCACCCGCGAUCUACUUAGAGAGAGUCUSGACGAGAGUCKAGGGAAGUCGAGGCAAUAACACAUCUGUGAUGCCCUUAGUUAUCCUAAGUCGCACGCGCCAAACAAUGUAGCUUACAACGAGUUAGUAGGCCGACAGGCGUYCUCGUUCGAUCGCGGCUGCACGGGAUGUCGUGGGACGAGUCGCUCCACGCSAGCGGCACUCCACGGCGYCGGUCCUGCCUCUCGACCKUCUCGAAUCACAGGUUGCGAGCUGC